GAUGAACGCUGGCGGCGUGCCUAAUACAUGCAAGUCGAGCGAACAGACGAGGAGCUUGCUCCUCUGACGUUAGCGGCGGACGGGUGAGUAACACGUGGAUAACCUACCUAUAAGACUGGGAUAACUUCGGGAAACCGGAGCUAAUACCGGAUAAUAUAUUGAACCGCAUGGUUCAAUAGUGAAAGACGGUUUUGCUGUCACUUAUAGAUGGAUCCGCGCCGCAUUAGCUAGUUGGUAAGGUAACGGCUCACCAAGGCAACGAUGCGUAGCCGACCUGAGAGGGUGAUCGGCCACACUGGAACUGAGACACGGUCCAGACUCCUACGGGAGGCAGCAGUAGGGAAUCUUCCGCAAUGGGCGAAAGCUUGACGGAGCAACGCCGCGUGAGUGAUGAAGGUCUUCGGAUCGUAAAACUCUGUUAUUAGGGAAGAACAAAUGUGUAAGUAACUAUGCACGUCUUGACGGUACCUAAUCAGAAAGCCACGGCUAACUACGUG
Molecule: ribosomal RNA, 497 nt
Filed under: uncultured bacterium
Lineage: Bacteria
Description: partial 16S ribosomal RNA
Rfam family: Bacterial small subunit ribosomal RNA
Source: RNAcentral